Molecule: long non-coding RNA, 622 nt
Filed under: Homo sapiens (human)
Lineage: Eukaryota; Metazoa; Chordata; Mammalia; Primates; Hominidae
Description: HSALNT0351655
Source: RNAcentral
ACCUGCACACACACACACAUGCACGCAUGCACACACACACACACAGAAGGUGAACACACAGGAUGAGGCCCUGAAAACUCAUUUCACCCGUGUACCUCACCCAAAAAUUCCCCUUUGUACUCCUAUCUUUAUCUCUAACUGACAGCAUGAAGGUAGCCCGAAGUCCCCUCACCCUGUCUGUCCUCCUGAUUCUCUAGCCCAGUUCCCUCUAGCUCCAGCACAGACUCUUAUCUCCAGCCCUGACUGCCGAAACCCUCCAGCCCCAGCUCCAGCCCCUCAGGAGGGGACUGCGUGGGAGGAAUGACUCCAGCAAGCCGGCAGCUGACCCGUCUCCUGCCUGCACGCCUCCCGCUGUGGUCCACUGCCGGUGGUCUUCAGCUCUCUCCUCGUCCCACCCCCAUGGUCUGCUGACAGCCCAGCUCAGUGCAUCCCUGCCAUCUCUGCUCUACCGCUGGUCCUCCCAACAACCAACUUACAGGUUUGGGGGCACACGUGAAGGUUUGACAUAUAGUAAACACAUGUCAUGGUGGUUUGUUGUACAGAUUAUUACAUCACCCAGGGUUUCACUCCCGUCACCCAGACUGGAGUACAAUGGUGCGAUCUCAGCUCACUGCAACCUCUG